GCGAGAGUGGCGAAACUGGCAGACGCGCCGGACUUAGGAUCCGGUGGGUGCAAACCCUUGGGGGUUCAACUCCCCCCUCUCGCACCA
RNAcentral lists this transfer RNA (87 nucleotides) under Candidatus Rokubacteria bacterium GWF2_70_14. RNAcentral's name for it is "tRNA-Leu". It matches the Rfam family "tRNA". Rfam says of the family: Transfer RNA (tRNA) molecules are approximately 80 nucleotides in length. Lineage: Bacteria; Candidatus Rokuibacteriota. RNAcentral also lists the same sequence under 2 other names. The record is from RNAcentral.